RNAcentral lists this ribosomal RNA (450 nucleotides) under uncultured bacterium. RNAcentral describes it as "partial 16S ribosomal RNA". It matches the Rfam family "Bacterial small subunit ribosomal RNA", at positions 354 to 796 of the family's 1533-position model. The record is from RNAcentral.
GUGGGGAAUUUUGGACAAUGGGCGCAAGCCUGAUCCAGCAAUGCCGCGUGCAGGAAGAAGGCCUUCGGGUUGUAAACUGCUUUUGUACGGAACGAAACGGUCCUGGCUAAUACCCGGGGCUAAUGACGGUACCGUAAGAAUAAGCACCGGCUAACUACGUGCCAGCAGCCGCGGUAAUACGUAGGGUGCGAGCGUUAAUCGGAAUUACUGGGCGUAAAGCGUGCGCAGGCGGUUUUGUAAGACAGACGUGAAAUCCCCGGGCUCAACCUGGGAAUGGCGUUUGUGACUGCAAAGCUGGAGUGCGGCAGAGGGGGAUGGAAUUCCGCGUGUAGCAGUGAAAUGCGUAGAUAUGCGGAGGAACACCGAUGGCGAAGGCAAUCCCCUGGGCCUGCACUGACGCUCAUGCACGAAAGCGUGGGGAGCAAACAGGAUUAGAAACCCCGGUAGUCC